UUGCGUAAGCAUACAUGUCUGUGCCGUCUUUUGACGAUGGCAGGAUAAUUAUUGACCUGAGGAAUAAUAUGGAUUUAUGUGGUUGUGAAAAUAGACUUUGUGUUUGUGAGUGUGAAAAUGUUAGUGUGUGUGUGCCUGUGUGUGUGCGCGCGCGCACGCGCUGGGACCCCACUUGACAAGUAAGUGUUUGCCUUUUCGUGUGCCACGAGUGAUACAUUUAUGUACUAUUGCGUGAAAUAGUGGUUUAAAAAAUAAGGGCAGUCGCGUUUGCAUUGCUAUCUGUAGGAUAGGACGAGCGUUUUUGAUGGAAUUGCCUCGCGAACCUGGCGAAGUCUUUGUUUUGGGCAGGGUAUUUUAUGAGUGCCCGACGCCGGUCCUGCUGUUGUUUGUUUGUUUGUUAGUAUGUAUCUGUCACGUUCGUAGCGCUGUUCAAGCGCUAGCCGCGUAGCGGUACGCGGUGAUUCUCCGAUUAUUCCUGAGCGGUACCGACUUAAGCCUUUUCCCUGCUCACUUAAGGAAAUUUGUGUAUCCCUGUCCUAUGACACAAAUGCGUGUAAUUUCAAUGCAAGUGACUAUUUAGCAUUAUGCAAUAGUUAUCUGAUAGCAGAAAUUGGUGUCUUUGUCACAGUUUAUUAGCGUGUGUGUGUCGAUAUUUUAUUUUAUUUUAUUUUUUUCUCUUAUUGCUAUGCGAGCAAAAGCGCGUGUAAUUUUUCGCUGCUCUUUUCUUAUUUUCUCUACUUUUAUGUAGAAGAAAGCCUCCAGCGUAAAAGCUGAAUAGUGUUCUAUCAGUGGAAGUGGGGUUGUUUGUUUGAUUUUGUUGGGUGUUCGAUAUCUUGAUGAAGUAAGCAGUGCUUAAUUUUGCAGGUUUUUGAGCAGAAAUGCUGGUAUCUGAGCACGGAGUAGAAAUUGCUAUAUUUCUCUGCUCCCUAAGAAACUCUGUACGUCGUUUUCCAAGCAGACCGCGUUUAGUUUACGCGAAAUGAACUUAUGUAUGCUCUAUGAUGAUCCGCCGCAGGCUUAGCCCUUUUCCCCGAUCACCAGUGUUUUGGCAUUCGAUGUCGCAUGUCUAGACUUGUUCAGUAGUGUCUUUCUUGCUGCAAUUUUUACCCUUCGCUGAUAUCUUGUUGCUGUCAUGUUGUGCUAGCCGCGUAGCGAUAAGCGGUGAUUCUCCGAUUAUUCCUAGGCGGUACGGCUUAAGCCUUUUCCCUGCUCACUGAAGGAAAUUUGUGUAUCCCUGUCCUGUGCUUUCUUUACGCAAGGGUAAUGCGUCUGUGUAUGUGGCACUAUCAUAUAGCAGACAUGAGUGUCUUUUUGUUGGUUUAUUGGCAUAUGCUUCAGGUUUUUUAAGUCAAGCAAAAGUGCGUGUAAUAUUUCGCUGCUCUUUUUCUUAUUUUCUCUACUUUUAUGUAGAAGAAAGCCUCCUGCGUAAAAGCUGAAUAGUGUUCUACCAGUGGAAGUGGGGUUGUUUGUUUGAUUUUGUUGGGUGUUCGAUAUCUUGACGAAGUAAGCAGUGCUUAAUUUUGCAGGUUUUUGAGCAGAAAUGCUGGUAUCUGAGCACGGAGUAGAAAUUUCUAUAUUUCUCUGCUCCUUAAGAAAAUUUGUACGUCGUUUUCCAAGCAGACCGCGUUUAGUUUACGCGAAGUAGAAAAAUGAAGUUGUGUAUGCUCUAUGAUGAUCCGCCGCGGGCUUAGGCCUUUUCCCCGAUGAGCAGUGUUUUGUAUGCGAUGUCGCAUGUCUGGACUUGUUCAGUGUUGCAAUUUUUACCCUUCGUUAAUAUCUUGUUGUUGUUGUCGUCUUGUGUUAGACGUUGAGCUUCGUAGCGAUGUGCGGUAACGCUACGAUUAUUCCUGAGCGCUCCGUGUGUUUAAUGCGUUGUCCUCUUUGCGUGCAUGCGUGUGCUUUUUUUUCUCCUGAUUUGUGACGUCCUCGUGGCAUGUCUGGACUUGUUUAGCAGUGUUGCAGUUCUUCCCGCUGCUAGUAUCUUGUUGGUGUCAUGUUGUGCUAGCCGCGUGGCGAUGUGUGGUGACCUGAGGUCUUAAGCCUUUUCCCUGCUCACCUAAGGAAAUUUGUGUAUCCCUGUCCUGUGCUUUCUUUACGCAAGGGUAAUGCGACUGUGUAUGUGGCAUUAUGCAAGAAUUAUCUGGUGGCAGAAAUAGGUGUAUUUUUCUCAGUGUAUUGGCGUGCGCUACGGUUUCUUGCAGUUACAGCUAUUGGAGCACACAUACGUGUAGUUUUUCGCGGUUCUUUUCUCCUUUCACGGCUUUUACUCAGAAUGUAGAUGAGGGGAAACAGUCAGCAUCCAGGUAGAGCAGGAGAAAGCCGCUCGGCAGAGGAGAGAGUUCAUGAGAAUGGAAUUUGUUUGUUUUUUGUUAUAUGUUGAGUGUUAGUAUUCGCUUUCCUCGAUAUGUUGAGGAAGUCAGCCGUUAUAGGUAUUUGUGCAGAAAUGCUGGUAUCUGAGUGUGUGGAGUAGAAAUUCCUAUAAAGCACCUCUCCUUGUGCAUUCCUGAGCUGCUGUGUGCGCGCGCGUGCUUCUUUUUCCUGGAUUGCGACGUCAUGAUGGCAUGUUGGGGCUUGUUUAGCAGUGUUGCAAUUUUACCCGCCGCUAUUAUCUUGUUAUCUUGUGUUAGCCGCGUAGCGAUGUCCAGUGACUCUGCUAUUAUUCCUGAGGUCUUAAGCCUUUUCCCUGCUCACCUAAGGAAAUUUGUGUAUCCCUGUCCUGUGCUUUCUUUGCGACAAUGCGUCUGUGUAUGUGGCACUAUCAGAUACCAGACAUGAGUGUCUUUUUCUUGGUUUAUUGGCAUAUGCUUCAGUUUUUUUUAAAGUCAAGCACAAGUGCGCGCAAUUUUUCGCUGCUCUCUUCCUCAGAUCACCGAUUUUACGAAGAAGACAGUCGCAUGGUACAGCUGAGAAGAGGGUUUCUCUGAUUGAUCUCUUGUUUGAUUUUGUUGGGUGUUCGAUAUGUUGAGGAAGUCAGCUGUUAAAGGUAUCCGUGAAGAAAUGCUUGCACCUGAGCGCAAGAUAGGAAUUCCUGAAGCACGACACCCUCAGUGUAAAUUAAUUAUGUUGGAUAUGAGUCUGCUUCCCUGCAUGACAAGGCUGAAAUGGGAAGAGAGAAAAAAUUGGAGCGCUUCAUUAGUAGCGAUCCAAGUAAUAGGGCAAUUAUAGUUUUCAUAGAAAGUUGGGUUCCUAAAAUUAUAGUUUAGUUGUAGUUUUUCUAAACUGCAAUGCAAUAAUCAUUAAUAUAGUAUAGGAAUGCUAUCGUGUUCCCGUAAAGGCGUUCUGUCUUGUGCUUUGGAAUGCGCGAAUAGAACUUUGCUCGCAGCCUUUCCCGCCUUUAUGCUCGCAAUGCACGAAUGGAACUUUGCCCACCCGGCUUCCGCGCCUUUUUUGCUCGCAGGUGUAGCCUCAGACAACGAAUGUAUGAGCAUAGAAAGGGUCACGUAUUACAUAAGCCUGGAGGUGAUGUUGAGUGGUCUCACUUAUUAUUUUAAAAGAGCAGUGGCAGUUUACUGUAAUUCUAAUGACCAUGAUGAGCCUUUGGGGUGAAAAUCGUUAAUAUGCGGGGUGCUUUUUUGUUGAAUUUUAAUGAGAGAAUCAAUGUCAUUAAGAGUAGGACAAAGGAAAUAAUCUUGCGAUUCAAUAAUUAAUAGGAGUCUUUGCCGCUGUCUUCUUCUUCAGACAGGAUGUGAUGACGUCACGCAGUCUGUAGCAAUGCAUUGACCGUCACUGGAAAAAAGUGUGGCAAUAGAAAAAUAGUGUGUAUUGCCCUGGACGGAUUUAUGAUGUGCACUGUUUUUGAACAAGAGGAGUGCGUGUGCUUGGAAAUAGUUUGAUGCUGGUUUCCUUCUUUGUUUCUUUUCGCUUUUUCCCCCUUGUUGUCUGACAAACAUGCGCUGACAUGCCUGGGCUUGUUCUGACAUGCUUUCCUUCUACAUGUAGUUUUUUUCUUUUUGUACAAGGCAUAUUCUUGACGAUAGUGCUGCCUUGAAUGGGAGUAGAGCUAUUCUUAAUAAUUUUGCGAUUCAUUUAGUUCAGAGAGUAACCGCGAGGGGGACAGGUGUGUGACUUUAUGUCUUGCUGAACCAUUUUUUUUUUUCCUGUACAUUAAGACUUUGGGAAUGAAAUGCUGCAAUCUCCUCUUGUCUAUGGUGCUCUUCUGCAAUAGUUUCCUACGCAAUCGUUAUAGAAGAAUAAAUGAAAUAAUCUUGGGAUAGUGAUUCAAUAAAUAACAGGUGCCCUGUCUAGAGCGUACGCGUCCUUGAGCCACGCACCUGCAUGAUGACCGCAUACCGAGAGACUAUUGUUUCAGGUUGACCUUGUCUAGAGGAGCAUUAGUGGAAAAAAACUGUGUAGCCCUGAGACAAUAGGAUGACGUUACGACCAAUGAGAACGGCCUGCAGGGGGCGCAAGGAUUCACUUCUCUCUUGGACACUGACGGGUCUCGACACGCAAAUUCUGCUCCUGGCGUUGGCCGUCAGUGGAAGAGCGUAGCUUCGGUGGGGUUCUGUCUGCCUCUGAUGGGGUGCGGAUGUGUGGUUCGUCACUGGUGAAUGGUGUUCGACGAUGCAGGUGGAUUUUGUGACGAGCGGAUUUACAAUGAGGGAAUGCUGUGAACGGGAAAAAUGAUGCCUCUCGCAGGUGGCGGUAGGAGCGCGCAGAGGGCGCUACGAGCGCGCGCAUGCGUAGCACCCGUAGAGUGGCGCUUACGUCAGUCCACCUCUGGCUCUCGUUUGGAGAAGACGUGCGGUCGUUCGCUCCGUCGUCACUUGAUCCCUGGCUGUCGACGAGAGCAGUCGCAUCGGUCUGCGCUCCUGCUGUGGUGAGGUGAUUUGUUGCGUAACUAAUGCUUUCGUCAACUUUGUUCCCGCUUUGUUUGUGAUUUUCGUGCCAGUGCUGGUUGCUGUUGUCCGGGCAUUCCCGCCAUUUUCUAUCAUCUUCUGCCUUGGGACCGGGAGUAGCGCUGGCGUGAUUCUUAAUAAUUUUGUUGUGAGAUUAGUUGAGAAAGUAACCGCUAGGGGGUGCAGCUGCGGGGCUUUAUACAGCAGAAAAACCAUUACGAGUCAGUUCUCUGCCUGCCUCUCGGAUGGAGCAGUCGCAUCGUUCUGCGCUCCUGUUGUGGUGGGAUCAUUUGUUGUGUAACUAAUCGUUUUUUCUUGUUAGCUAUUGAUGGUUUGCAUACUCUUGCUUUCCCAGACUCUGUAUUACGAGUGUUUUUCUCCUUGCAUGUCCAGAGCUCUCCUAACCUGCCCAGACAUGCCAUGAUGACGUCACAGGAUGUGCGGAACUGGUGCUGCGAUGCUUUGCAACCUGCCUCAGUGCUCCGUCGCCCAGCGGCCUUUCCGGGCCGCUUUCUUCAAGACGAUGUCGUUGAUCUUCAAUUAAACUGCUUCUCUCCAGUC
Molecule: long non-coding RNA, 5399 nt
Organism: Ornithodoros turicata
Lineage: Eukaryota; Metazoa; Arthropoda; Arachnida; Ixodida; Argasidae
Exons: 2
Source: RefSeq, a predicted model, not a curated record